Molecule: long non-coding RNA, 3303 nt
Organism: Mustela erminea (ermine)
Lineage: Eukaryota; Metazoa; Chordata; Mammalia; Carnivora; Mustelidae
Exons: 3
Source: RefSeq, a predicted model, not a curated record
UCAGACAGUUUCUUGGGAGGCCGGUCACCCGGGUAAGGACCCCACAGGCUGCGAGGGAACCAGCGAGCUUCAUUCCCUCCUGAGCUGGGAGACCCCCACCCGGGGCAGAGGCGCCCGUCUUUCUUCCUUCUGCAUUUGGACGCGGUCCUGCCUGGGGCUCUCGGCUCAGACUGCUCUGGACAACAGUGAAGCCCACACUCUUGGCCAACCUUCUAGGCGUGAGCCCGGCCUUUGCGGUCAACAACCCUUUCAAGGUGGGAAGUUGAAAGUAUCAAGAUCUCCCUUUGCUUGUGCUUGGAGAAAUAACAGCCACCCAGCAUGUCUCCGCAUCAGACCACCCCCGUCUCCCACAGGCUGUGGGUCCCCACCUGGGUCAGCAGCGGCUUCUCGACUUCACCGUUGCCGGUGUGGGGCCCGCCUGCAAGUCUUGGUUCCAUACAUGGACGCGCUGAAGCGUGGAGACGUCGAGCUCCUUCCCCAGGGUCACGUGGGGGCUGGGUGGGGUGUGGACCUCGCAGGCCGGCUUCGUCACUGUCCGAUGUCCGCUGGCUCCGAGCCUCCAAGUGAGGUCACCAGGGUACUGCCAUUCCUCAUUCCUCAACUGUCAGCCCUGGACCAAGGGCUCCCUCUGCAAAGCCGGCUCAGCUGCCCACAGACCGGGGCCCCUGCUUCUCUGCGAUUCUUGGUGCUUUCUUGGGUUUGGCACAACGCCCACCAGGGCCCUCCGCACACUUUGUUACGGUUACCGUUUGCAGCCUGUCUCCUGGCUGACCAGUGAGCUUCCACCUGUGUCCUCCCCUCCCAGAGCCUCGUGGCAGGCGCUUGCUGCCAUUCGUUCAAUGACCAAAGGAAGAAGCAGAGACAAAGCUGUAAGGGACAGAGACAAAGCCCCUCCUGGGUCUCACCCGUCACCAGCUGAGUAAGUACUUUGGCCCCUGUUGCCCUUGGUCAUCCGUGAGGACAGAGCCUUCGCGGCACUGAAGGAAGAGACAACACCUCCCCAUUCUCUUUCUGGACCCUAUGGUUCUUCUCAAGGUCAUGUCUCGGUUUUUGUCAAAGACACAAGAGGUGUCUACGCUUUGAUCCAGAAGCGUGGACUGUGGGUUUCGCAGAGCCGGGGCUAAGCCCUGUUCCGUCACGAAUCCCUCAGCUGUUGGGCACAAGGGAGCCGGUCCGCCCUGCCUGGACCAGUUUGCUCACCUGCACGUGUGGAACUGAGAGUCACGCCCAGACUUUGGGGGGGUGCUGGGAGCAUCACCGCCCACGGGACUCACGAGUCCUGGCUCAGACCAGGUCCUCAGGGUCCCUGGGUGAAGGCCCAUGAGGGCGGAGGCUUGAGGGGAAGCCAGAGCAGGGAGCAGGACCUGGGGACCCCGGAGAGAAGAGCGCGCGGCCGGAGCUGAGGACCCCCGUGGGGACGGGAGUGAGUUACAGCUAAUCCCGCACUUAUGCAACUGUUCCAUUCCGAAAGGCCUUUCUCAACUUGAACUUUGCACCAGAAGCCUGCUUGGGACUUAAAGGCGCUGUCUCCCCGGCAGGAGGGCUCAGGCUCGGCAGUGACUCCCUGUCUGCCCUCUCCAGAGCGGGGAGGCAGUGGCCCCCAGCCCCAGUCCUGUGGUCUUUCUGCGGCCUGUCGAUCUUUACUGAAAAGCUCCUCUGGUCACCUGUGGCAGUGCAGGCGCAAGGUCCUCCUCCUGUCACGGAGCUGGUCCCCCCCCAUUGCUCUGCUCCCUCCUCCCAGAUGCCACCGACGGACACUUUGAGCCCCCCAAACGCACAUGUGAGAACCUGUGCUGUGCUGGUGUUGGGAGGUGACUGGCCUUGUGUGGGGGGUCGUGGUGCUGGGACGGGGCGAGCGUCCUCCUAAGGAGAGGACGGUCCUGGAGAGGGAGCACAGAGCCAGCCCUGCAGCUGCCUGCCCUUGGGUCUCCUGCCUCCGGGGCUCUGAGGAUUGACACUGGGCUGUCCCCCUGGGGGGUCCGUGAGGUCUGCACGGCUCGAGCGAGCCGAGCUGAGGCCUGGCCCCGGCCACCCGGGUCUGGCCCACUGGUCCCUCUGCCCUGAGAGCUCUUGGCACAUCUGGCCCUCUCUGGAACCCUGUCCAGGGCCCCCACGCCCCUUGCCUGCCUUGCCCUUCAGGAGCUGCACCCCUGGCGAACACCGCGUGCAACCCCACAGCCAUGAGGCCAUCCUGUCCCCCGUCACGCACAUCCCUCUGCCACGCUCUUCUCAGAAGCAGGAGCGGGAUCCCUCCUGGAACCCAUCAUGCGUCACGCGCCUGUGGCCUGGCAGGGACCAGAGGGCGGCCGCCUUCCCCCGCUGCUCCCAGAGGAAUCCACACAACCUGGGUGAGGUUUAACCCAAGGCAGACGCUCGGUCCUUGCUGGGGACACAGUGGGCUAGAUGUCUCUUGUGCACAGUGUCACGUCCUAGUGAUCGACCCCAAGGAUGUGUCGUGGGAAUCACUUUGUUGGUCGCUCGGCCCCACGUGUCCGAAGGGGACAGGGUCCCCGUCUCUCCAGUCUUGCUGGCGAGCCCCGGGAGAGGGAGAAGGCCCCAUUCCCGGGACCACUGAGUGGCUGUGGAAGCGCCAGAAGGAAGGAGGCAGGCGGAGGGCUCCGUGGGCCCCCGCGGGCGGUCAUGCCGUGUGGCCACGGCCGGGACAGCCUUUCUCAGCUGGAGGAAGCAGCCAGAACUUUCACUUGGUCUGGUUUCCUCCAUCACCUCCCCAGCGGUGACCACCUCCUGCGUGCAUCGGAGCGGCCCGAGGUUCACGUACCUGGGCCCCCCAGGGCCUGGCGGAGGUUGUCUUCUUGGCCAUGCGGGUUCUCCCCGCCACACUUCUCCAGGCCCGACCAGGCUUGCAUUUCUCUGCUUUACCUCAGGCUCCAAAUUAAACUCCUUGUGUCUUCGAGGGUGUCUUAUCACUCUGCGCAUCGCCCUGCAGGCCAGCAGGGUUCCACGGUCCCGGCUCUCCAGCGGGCUGGCCAGAGGUGUCCCGCCGGCGGCUGCUCCCGGCCCCAGGUGGCUCACAGGUGCAUCGUGGACACUCCCGGGCCUUGUCCAUCUCUGUGACUUUGCCUCAAACACACCUGGGUUUUGGGUGAUGGUGCCACUGGCUGCUUCCCAAGUCCCAGGAGCCGGCACACUCCAGUGUGCCUUAAAUCUUCUGUCCCAACACUGCCCACCAGGUCCCGAUGACCGGGACCCUCGAAGACCCUGCAGGUGUUUCCUUGGCAACACGGGACGGGCUGCCUAAGUUGUCACCGGCCGGCUAAUUCUUUUGUACCCUAAAUUUUAAAA